CGCAAACGAGUCGACUGCGUCACCAGUGGCUAAGCAGAGUGGUCAAGUUGUUCCCUAAGAGUAAUUAGGUCAAUGUAAUUAUUUAUUUUAGUGUAGAUCCAGGUGGGGUUGGAUGAUUGCCCCCUAAAAAGGUGCAAAGGAUACAUGUAUGAUGUAACAUACUAAAACAAUGUUUUGUUGGAGAGCACACCACCACCACUACAUCUUCGACAUCACCCGCCGUCACACUGCAGGCAAACUUCCCGCACUUGCUAAUGACAAACACCACAACGAGUAUUCUCGCAACUCAAUGUCCACUUAAUGUCCACUUACCUUCUUCCACUUAUCCUUUCCUUUGGGUACGCUGACCGGAUCAGCGUUCAGCAUACCGGUCACCACCUGCCAGUGUCGCUCCCGCUCACCGUACGACGAAGGCACGCGAGAGCUCACCAUGCAAGGAUGCGCCUCGAUAUAGUCCAGCAAGAUCUGAAACUGCCUCGCCGACGUCCUGCUAGCGCGCCGCGGCCCUAGGUCCACGGAGGCCGCCAUGUUGUCUCGACGACUCGCCGGAGGAGAUGCGUCCAUCGAAACGCUUAUCGUUACACGAUAUGACGACAGCCGACGUCCGGCGAUAGAAAAAAAAAAAAAAAAGAAGCAGAAGACAAAAAUGAACGACGGCGAGGGCUCUGGUGGCGAAGCCGAGAACCCGGGCUCGGAAGCUCCGCCUACCGUUCGCUACAGGCAACGAUCGUUUCUUCGAUUUUCGAUAAGUUUUUUGACGUGGGCAGUCUGCCCUGCGUUGCGCGUGCAUUUCCCGUUGGGUUCUGCCUCGUCUCCUUCGGCUGUGUUUUAUGUGCGAUAUUUUUUCGCCUCUCGUUGGCCGGUUAUCGAUUGGACUGUGACAGGUAUCGAACGCGGUGAUCCUGCGUUUUUUUCUUGUUUUUUUUUUUUUUACAGUGUUGUGUGCAUGUAAUGCGGAACGUGUAAAGUUUCUAAAUAAUAAA
Molecule: long non-coding RNA, 983 nt
Organism: Ornithodoros turicata
Lineage: Eukaryota; Metazoa; Arthropoda; Arachnida; Ixodida; Argasidae
Exons: 3
Source: RefSeq, a predicted model, not a curated record